GAUUUUCAGUGAAUCAUCGAAUCUUUGAACGCACCUUGCGCCCCUUGGUAUUCCGAGGGGCAUGCCUGUUUGAGUGUCAUU
RNAcentral lists this ribosomal RNA (81 nucleotides) under Leccinum sp. hdb 320. RNAcentral describes it as "partial 5.8S ribosomal RNA". It matches the Rfam family "5.8S ribosomal RNA", at positions 77 to 154 of the family's 154-position model. Rfam says of the family: 5.8S ribosomal RNA (5.8S rRNA) is a component of the large subunit of the eukaryotic ribosome. It is transcribed by RNA polymerase I as part of the 45S precursor that also contains 18S and 28S rRNA. Lineage: Eukaryota; Fungi; Basidiomycota; Agaricomycetes; Boletales; Boletaceae. The record is from RNAcentral.